This 208-nucleotide long non-coding RNA is filed under the name Vombatus ursinus (common wombat). RNAcentral's name for it is "lncRNA (ENSVURG00010009405.1)". Lineage: Eukaryota; Metazoa; Chordata; Mammalia; Diprotodontia; Vombatidae. The record is from RNAcentral.
AGACAACAGAAAGGUCAAGAAGAAUAAGUUGAUGAAUUGCCUGAAGGAUCUUAAAGGAGUAAAGGUUGAUAUCCAUGAACUGAAAAAUGUCCUGAGGAACCUGGGGAUGGAUCUUACAGAUCAGCAGUUUCAGUUGCUGCUAACAGUUAUCCCACUUGAUUAUGAUGGGAAAGUGGAUCUAAACAAAUUGAUAGAAUUUUCAAAGGCC